RNAcentral lists this ribosomal RNA (496 nucleotides) under uncultured bacterium. Its description in RNAcentral is "partial 16S ribosomal RNA". It matches the Rfam family "Bacterial small subunit ribosomal RNA", at positions 30 to 523 of the family's 1533-position model. The record is from RNAcentral.
AUUGAACGCUGGCGGCAUGCUUUACACAUGCAAGUCGAACGGUAGAGGGGGCAACCCCUUGAGAGUGGCGAACGGGUGAGUAAUGCAUCGGAACGUGCCCAGUAGUGGGGGAUAGCCCGGCGAAAGCCGGAUUAAUACCGCAUACGACCUACGGGUGAAAGGGGGGGAUCGCAAGACCUCUCGCUAUUGGAGCGGCUGAUGUCAGAUUAGCUAGUUGGUGGGGUAAAGGCCUACCAAGGCGACGAUCUGUAGCUGGUCUGAGAGGACGACCAGCCACACUGGGACUGAGACACGGCCCAGACUCCUACGGGAGGCAGCAGUGGGGAAUUUUGGACAAUGGGCGAAAGCCUGAUCCAGCCAUGCCGCGUGCGGGAAGAAGGCCUUCGGGUUGUAAACCGCUUUUGUCAGGGAAGAAAUCUUCUGAGUUAAUACCUCGGGAGGAUGACGGUACCUGAAGAAUAAGCACCGGCUAACUACGUGCCAGCAGCCGCGGUAA